AGAAUCAACGCUGGCGGCGUGCCUAACACAUGCAAGUCGAACGAGAAAGGGGAGCAAUCCCUGAGUAAAGUGGCGACCGGGUGAGUAACACGUGACUAACCUACCCUCGAGUGUGGAAUAACAUCGGGAAACCGAUGCUAAUACCGCAUAACAUCGGCGCUUUUAAGAGAUGCCGAUCAAAGGAGCAAUCCGCUUGAGGAGGGGGUCGCGGCUGAUUAGCUAGUUGGCGGGGUAACGGCCCACCAAGGCGAAGAUCGGUAGCCGGCCUGAGAGGGCGUACGGCCACACUGGAACUGAAACACGGUCCAGACUCCUACGGGAGGCAGCAGUGGGGAAUUUUGCGCAAUGGGGGAAACCCUGACGCAGCAACGCCGCGUGGAGGAUGAAGCCCUUGGGGCGUAAACUCCUUUCGACCAAGACGAUAAUGACGGUACUGGUGGAAGAAGCACCGGCUAACUCUGCGCCAGCAGCCGC
RNAcentral lists this ribosomal RNA (474 nucleotides) under uncultured bacterium. Its description in RNAcentral is "SSU rRNA". It matches the Rfam family "Bacterial small subunit ribosomal RNA", at positions 26 to 518 of the family's 1533-position model. The record is from RNAcentral.